This 124-nucleotide ribosomal RNA is filed under the name Actinomycetota bacterium. RNAcentral's name for it is "Actinobacteria bacterium partial 16S ribosomal RNA". It matches the Rfam family "Bacterial small subunit ribosomal RNA", at positions 1 to 124 of the family's 1533-position model. Lineage: Bacteria; Bacillati; Actinomycetota. The record is from RNAcentral.
UUCUAUGGAGAGUUUGAUCCUGGCUCAGGACGAACGCUGGCGGCGUGCUUAACACAUGCAAGUCGAGCGAUGAAACUACUUCGGUAGUGAAUUAGCGGCGAACGGGUGAGGAACACGUGAGGAA